RNAcentral lists this ribosomal RNA (468 nucleotides) under uncultured bacterium. Its description in RNAcentral is "partial 16S ribosomal RNA". It matches the Rfam family "Bacterial small subunit ribosomal RNA", at positions 28 to 507 of the family's 1533-position model. The record is from RNAcentral.
GACGAACGCUGGCGGCGUGCUUAACACAUGCAAGUCGAACGGAAAGGCCCUGCUUUUGUGGGGUGCUCGAGUGGCGAACGGGUGAGUAACACGUGAGUAACCUGCCCUUGACUUUGGGAUAACUUCAGGAAACUGGGGCUAAUGCCGGAUAGGAGCUCCUGCUGCAUGGUGGGGGUUGGAAAGUUUCGGCGGUUGGGGAUGGACUCGCGGCUUAUCAGCUUGUUGGUGGGGUAGUGGCUUACCAAGGCUUUGACGGGUAGCCGGCCUGAGGGGGUGACCGGCCACAUUGGGACUGAGAUACGGCCCAGACUCCUACGGGAGGCAGCAGUGGGGAAUAUUGCACAAUGGGCGGAAGCCUGAUGCAGCAACGCCGCGUGCGGGAUGACGGCCUUCGGGUUGUAAACCGCUUUCGCCUGUGACGAAGCGUGAGUGACGGUAAUGGGUAAAGAAGCGCCGGCUAACUACGUG